UCCGAGUGCGAGGGCAUAUAGUCCUCGCUUUUCUGUACCGUAAGGUGGUACAGGAACAAGUGCUGGGCAAGACCGGUGCCAGCCGCCGCGGUAAUACCGGCAGCACCAGUGAUGGCCGCUUUUAUUGGGCUAAAGCGUUCGUAGCCGGCCACUCAAGUUCGUCGGGAAAUCUGCCCGCUUAACGGGCAGGCGUCCGGCGAAAACUGAGUGGCUUGGGGCCGGAAGAUCCAAGGGGUACGUCCGGGGUAGGAGUGAAAUCCCGUAAUCCUGGACGGACCACCGAUGGCGAAAGCACCUUGGAAAGACGGACCCGACGGUGAGGGACGAAAGCUAGGGUCUCGAACCGGAUUAGAUACCCGGGUAGUCCUAGCCGUAAACGAUGCUCGCUAGGUGUGGCGCAGGCUACGAGCCUGCGCUGUGCCGUAGGGAAGCCGAGAAGCGAGCCGCCUGGGAAGUACGUCCGCAAGGAUGAAACUUAAAGGAAUUGGCGGGGGAGCACUACAACCGGAGGAGCCUGCGGUUUAAUUGGACUCAACGCCGGACAUCUCACCAGCACCGACAGUAGGAGUGACGGUCAGGUUGAUGACCUUACCUGACCUACUGAGAGGAGGUGCAUGGCCGCCGUCAGCUCGUACCGUGAGGCGUCCUGUUAAGUCAGGCAACGAGCGAGACCCGCAUCCCUAGUUGCCAGCAGCACGCUUGUCGUGGCUGGGUACACUAGGGAGACUGCCGCUGCUAAAGCGGAGGAAGGAACGGGCAACGGUAGGUCAGUAUGCCCCGAAUGUGCUGGGCAACACGCGGGCUACAAUGGCCAGGACAGUGGGACGCCACCCCGAGAGGGGGCGCUAAUCUCCUAACCCUGGUCGUAGUUCGGAUUGCGGACUGAAACUCGUCCGCAUGAAGCUGGAUUCGGUAGUAAUCGCGUGUCAGAAGCGCGCGGUGAAUACGUCCCUGCUCCUUGCACACACCGCCCGUCAAAGCACCCGAGUGAGGUCCGGAUGAGGCCAUCAUGCGAU
RNAcentral lists this ribosomal RNA (1016 nucleotides) under uncultured archaeon. RNAcentral's name for it is "bacterial SSU rRNA". It matches the Rfam family "Archaeal small subunit ribosomal RNA", at positions 380 to 1394 of the family's 1478-position model. The record is from RNAcentral.